ACUUAAAUAGCUUAACAAAGAGCAUAGUAUUGAAGAUACUAGGGUAGUUUAAAACUUUUGAGUA
Molecule: transfer RNA, 64 nt
Filed under: Scolytinae sp. BMNH 1040174
Lineage: Eukaryota; Metazoa; Arthropoda; Insecta; Coleoptera; Curculionidae
Description: tRNA-Phe
Source: RNAcentral